CGCCUAACACAUGCAAGUCGAACGCAGUAGCAAUACUGAGUGGCAAACGGGUGAGUAUAAUGUGGGAAUCUGCCUUUUGGUUUGGAAUAACACGGGGAAACUUGUGCUAAUACCGAAUAAGCCCUUACGGGGAAAGUUUUAACGCCGAAAGAUGAGCCUGCACUUGAUUAGCUAGUUGGUAAGGUAAAGGCUUACCAAGGCAACGAUCAAUAGCUGUUCUUAGAGGAAGACCAGCCACAUUGGGACUGAGACACGGCCCAGACUCCUACGGGAGGCAGCAGUGGGGAAUCUUGCACAAUGGGGGAAACCCUGAUGCAGCGAUGCCGCGUGAGUGAAGAAGGCCCUUGGGUUGUAAAACUCUUUCGUCGGGGAAGAAAAUGACUGUACCCGAAUAAGAAGGUCCGGCUAACUUCGUGCCAGCAGCCGCGGUAAUACGAAGGGACCUAGCGUAGUUCGGAAUUACUGGGCUUAAAGAGCUCGUAGGUGGUUAAAAAAGUUGAUGGUGAAAUCCCAAGGCUCAACCUUGGAACUGCCAUCAAAACUUUUUAGCUAGAGUGUGAUAGAGGUAAGUGGAAUUUCUAGUGUAGAGGUGAAAUUCGUAGAUAUUAGAAAGAACACCAAAUGCGAAGGCAACUUACUGGGUCACUACUGACACUGAGGAGCGAAAGCAUGGGUAGCGAAGAGGAUUAGAUACCCUCGUAGUCCAUGCCGUAAACGAUGUGUGCUAGACGUUGGAAAUAUAUUUUUCAGUGUCGCAGCGAAAGCAUUAAGCACACCGCCUGGGGAGUACGACCG
This 795-nucleotide ribosomal RNA is filed under the name uncultured Pelagibacteraceae bacterium. RNAcentral describes it as "bacterial SSU rRNA". It matches the Rfam family "Bacterial small subunit ribosomal RNA", at positions 45 to 888 of the family's 1533-position model. Lineage: Bacteria; Pseudomonadati; Pseudomonadota; Alphaproteobacteria; Candidatus Pelagibacterales; Candidatus Pelagibacteraceae. The record is from RNAcentral.